Long non-coding RNA from Mustela erminea (ermine), 3349 nucleotides. RefSeq lists it as uncharacterized. The transcript is spliced from 3 exons. The record is from RefSeq and is a predicted model, not a curated record. Lineage: Eukaryota; Metazoa; Chordata; Mammalia; Carnivora; Mustelidae.
CCGGGCUCAUGCAUCCCCCCACGCCCCUCCCCUCUGAAACCCUCAGUGUGUUUCCCCGGAGUUCACGGUCUCACGUGGUUCGUCUCCCCUGAUCUCUGGCAGGAGCCGGAUGGAUCUGGGGGGGAGGGGACUGACCCUCCGGCAGUUCUGCCUACGUCCAGGCGCUCCUUCCCCCCGCCUGAUUUCUGGUGGGUGGACGCCGAGGGCCUUGAGGUUGCAGAGCAGGUCCCCGGAACUCUGUGGGAACACUGCCUUGUCUGGCCGCAGGGGGUGAGUUCCCCGCGGGAGGGCUUCAGCGCAUUUUGGGGGGAAGUUUAAACACUUCAUCGAGAUGCCUGAAAAUCACAUUAAGCACCGUGCACCAGGCAGAAAAGUCUCUGGGAACCUGGGUGUCGGAACAAAUGUGAGAACGAACUAUGAAGGGUUUUUAUUGAGAAAGGGUUGGUGCCUUCAAAGGGGGUGAAUUCUGGGGGCACAGACAGGGCUUCUCUUGUCAGAAAGGCCAAGGGAAGGUGGGCCACAUAGUUUUAAGACACAAGGUCACAUAGCCGGGGGACAGGUCAGCCGGACUUCGCCAUCGGCCCGCAGUCCUUAUGUUUCCCUCUGCCCACUUCCCCUGGCCGUACUCACGGCGCUUAAUAACCCGAGCCACGAGAACUGCGGGCUUAACCAGGGCAGCCUGGGCGAGUGUUCAUAGGGUCCCACUGGGUAACAGACCAUGGAAGACAAGGCACAAUCCUCUUAACUUGGUGCUUUCAUUGUUCCUAAAAAAACUCUUGGUUAAUAGAUACCUUUUAAAUCGAGAAGUUAGGGGUCAUUGUUGCAACCGUAGCCGAGCUUGCUACAGAGGAGCUGUUGUGAAGAAUCAACAGCCAGAAAACCCCACCUGACAGCACCGUCUCCGUGUUCCACAGAGGCUUCGGAGGGGUCCCUGGGAUUUGGGGAAAUGCACAUUCCCAGGCGUGGAGGAGGCUGUUCCUCUGAACGAGGCUAAUGAGGUUUUCCGGCCUCUAGAAUGGAGCUGGUCGUCUUGCCCCAACCCACCCGUCAAAGCCUUUCACACCUGAGGGCCCACUUCCGUGACCGGCAAGCUGAGGUUGGCUGUGGGCAGAGGACUCCGUUUCUGCCCCUGCUUCCCGUGGAUCCACCCAUAGAACUGUCUGAGCCUCCUCGUGACCCGGCCACCGGCUUCCCCCAGAGAGAGACAUCCCAGGGGAAGCCAGGCAGAAGCCAGGACAUCUUUUAGGACCUCAUGUCAGGAGUCCUGGUGUCUUUCCUGCAGUGUUCUACUAGUCACGCAGGUAGGUCGUGUUCACGCAGGGAAGAAUGAGUGGCCCUUCCCAGAGAGCACGUGGUGGUAAGGAGCCCUCUGUAAGGGUCUGUGAGUUGUGGCUUUUAGCUGGACAGCACUGAAUCUGACUCCGGUUAACUUGAUGAGAGUAGGAACUGGACAGAAGGUGACGGGGCAGUUCAGCAUCAAGCGGAAGUCUGGAGAACACGGCGCAGGAAAGGGACAGGAGCCGGGGAGGCUCUGGACCACAAUUAAGGCGCGGCCACCAGAAGCUUUCGGUAAGGAUGUGGCCUGUGGUCUGUGGCACUGAUGCUGCUGGGCAUGGCCGGCGGCAGACUCUCGGGGCUGUGGCUUCCGUGAACGCUUCUGAAACAUCCUUGGAUCUGUGACUCACCCUGAAGAGCCGAAGCCUUGGGUAGGACUGAUGGUCGGACCCCCUCGCACGUCCCUGCCACAGUCUGGCUCCAGACAUUUCAGUGUGUUCAGCGGUGGCCCCUGGGACACCUUCAUACUCUCCUGGCAGCGUGUUUCACCUGGCCCCUGGCGUUCACCUUAGGGGAGCUCGACUUAGGGCAUCCCCCGGACGACGAGACUGGUCUUCAAGCAAACGGAUGUGGAUGCCUCCCCUGAGCCAGUCAUUCUUCUAAACACGUGAGUCUCUCCACUAUUGCCAGGAAAGGCAUGGCCUUGCGUGUGUAUUAGUAAGUCGUAUCUCUAAGCGCGUGAGUCCGCAAAAACAGGCUGAGAAACAACCGGGGACGGCUGGUCCCCAUUUGCCCAUUAAGGGUGAAUUGAUUUUCACUCCUUUAGUUCCACUACUUGCCAGCAAGCAAGCGGUAGUGGAUAAACAGGAAUGUGAUUGAAUUAAUCCGCCAAUUUCAUUUUUCUGCAAACUGGAGAAAGAGACUGAUGCUUGAUGUUCCUGGGCAGCAAGUCUUGACCCAUCACGAGGUUCCUGGUCUCCCUGGGCGCAGAGGCCAGGACUCUGGGGUCCAAAAGGGUGGGAAGGGGAUUGGUCAGGUUUGUCUGGAACGUGGCUGAGCACGACUUGGCUUACUACAGUCGGAUGGGAUAGCGUGGGGGGACAGGAACCACCAUCCAGGAAGCAGGGGGUCUCUGGGGCCAAGGUUCAGGGUGGGACCCUGUUUCGUGAGAAGAGCGUGGCGAAGUCGAGUCAGGCUUGGUCACGGGUGUGUGACUACAAUCAGAGGCGAGGGAGGGCCGGGCUCGCGGAUGACCCCGUUAUGAAGUGGCAGACCUCCAAGUAGGGGGCACUAUUGAAGAACCAGCACCUGCUGGCAAGCUGAAGGUUUCUGGGUUUUCCGGACCUAUGAGAAAUUUUCGUUUGUACAUGACUGCAGAAUAGAGAGAACCAUCAUUUAUACAGAAAGGAUUCUGUGGGUUUGAUAGCUCAGUACAUUUCCAACAAUAGCUGCUUUAUACAAGUUUUUGUGGGAAGACGUGAAAUCCUCACCUCCCACAUCUGGGCAGUCGGGAGCUCUGGGUGGUGUCCCAAGAGGGAAGCUGAUUCCUGACAUCGGGACUGGAUUCUACACGCCGGUGGGAUCGAGCAUCCAGAGGGAAUGGAGGGCGCAGAGGCUGUGUCUCGGGGGGCCCAGGCCCACUUUGGUUCUUCAGAUUCCUCUCGCUGGCCGAGGAAGGGGAGGGCAUGUGGGAACAGGUGCCUCUGGGGAGUUGUAGCUCCCCACUUCUGCUCCAGGGCUCAGAAUGCAGCCCCCCCGCCUAGCCCCAGGGCUCUGAGCUCAGCUCUGCACAGUUAGAGAGAAAGAGGCUCAUGCAAGAAGACAGCCAACCUACCGCCCAGGUCUAGCCAGCGAGGCGGACGGAGAGUUCAAGGGUGAGCCUCUUCCUCCUGCUUUCAGGGCCACGUUUCGCUGAGUGUGCUGUGGGCGUCGGGCCCUGCUCGGAGCCCCGGCAGGGCCACACAGCUGUGGGUUGACCUGGGACACUCACAAACCCCAGAUCAAAUCCACAAUCCAAGCAGAAGGCCCUUUUGCCUAUAAGUACUUAGUGGAGGCAGUUGCACUCUCUUGGAGC